Populus trichocarpa (black cottonwood) is the source of this 3882-nucleotide long non-coding RNA. RefSeq lists it as uncharacterized. NCBI's taxonomy places the organism in Eukaryota, Viridiplantae, Streptophyta, Magnoliopsida, Malpighiales, Salicaceae. The record is from RefSeq and is a predicted model, not a curated record. The transcript is spliced from 3 exons.
CUUCAGACCCCCCCCGUCGACGAAGAGGAGGAUCCUCAGACCCCCCCGUCUCCCAGCCGAAGAGGAGGAUCCUCAGACCUCCCCCGUCGACGAAGAGGAGGAUCCUCAGACCCCCCCGUCUGAGCUAAUAUGUUGCUCAGCCGAAGAGGAGGAUCCUCAGACCCUUGCUCAGACGAAGAGGAGGAUCCUCAGACCCCCCCGUCUGAGCAAAUAUGUUGCUCAGCCGAAGAGGAGGAUCCUCAGACCCCCCCGUCUCCCAGACGAAGAGGAGGAUCCUCAGACCCCCCCGUCUGAGCAAAUAUGUUGCUCAGCCGAAGAGGAGGAUCCUCAGACCCCCCCGUCUCCCAGCCGAAGAGGAGGAUCCUCAGACCCCCCCUUCUGAGCUAAUAUGUUGCUCAGCCGAAGAGGAGGAUCCUCAGACCCCCUCGUCUCCGCAAGCUAUUGUGCUCAGACGAAGAGGAGGAUCCUCAGACCCUUGCUCAGCCGAAGAGGAGGAUCCUCAGACCCCCUCGUCUGAGCAAAUAUGUUGCUCAGCCGAAGAGGAGGAUCCUCAGACCCCCCCCGUCUGAGCAAAUAUGUUGCUCAGACGAAGAGGAGGAUCCUCAGACCCCCCCGUCUCCCAGCCGAAGAGGAGGAUCCUCAGACCCCCCCGUCUGAGCAAAUAUGUUGCUCAGCCGAAGAGGAGGAUCCUCAGACCCCCCCGUCUCCCAGACGAAGAGGAGGAUCCUCAGACCCCCCGUCUGAGCAAAUAUGUUGCUCAGCCGAAGAGGAGGAUCCUCAGACCCCCCCGUCUGAGCUAAUAUGAUGCUCAGCCGAAGAGGAGGAUCCUCAGACCCCCUCGUCUCCGCAAGCUAUUGUGCUCAGACGAAGAGGAGGAUCCUCAGACCCCCCCGUCUGAGCAAAUAUGUUGCUCAGCCGAAGAGGAGGAUCCUCAGACCCCCCCGUCUGAGCAAAUAUGUUGCUCAGACGAAGAGGAGGAUCCUCAGACCCCCCCGUCUCCGCAAGCUAUUGUGCUCAGACGAAGAGGAGGAUCCUCAGACCCCCCCGUCUGAGCAAAUAUGUUGCUCAGCCGAAGAGGAGGAUCCUCAGACCCCCCCGUCUCCCAGACGAAGAGGAGGAUCCUCAGACCCCCCGUCUGAGCAAAUAUGUUGCUCAGCCGAAGAGGAGGAUCCUCAGACCCCCCCGUCUGAGCUAAUAUGAUGCUCAGCCGAAGAGGAGGAUCCUCAGACCCCCUCGUCUCCGCAAGCUAUUGUGCUCAGACGAAGAGGAGGAUCCUCAGACCCCCCCGUCUGAGCAAAUAUGUUGCUCAGACGAAGAGGAGGAUCCUCAGACCCCCCCGUCUCCCAGCCGAAGAGGAUGCACUCUAGGUGUCGUCUCUCUCAUCUCACAACACAGAAGAGGACUUAAGGGUGGUUAAAUUUCUAAUUAAGAACAAUACUUAUAAGAAUUGGGUAUCAGGUCUCCCAGCCGAAGAGGACGCACUCUAGGUGUCGCCUCUCUCAUCUCACAACACAGAAGAGGACUUAAGGGUGGUUAUCCUUUUGAUUGCUUUAAUUUGUUUUUGGGAGUUUGUUUGGAUCUGUAACAGAUCUGCCACACAUGCUUGGUUAUUGACGGUCUUUGUUAUUUUUUUUUUUAUCGAUUAUCAUGGCCUCAGAACUCCAGGUCGUCUUUUUUCUUCUUUCACAUUUACUGCUCAGACUCGCACCCCAAAGGAGGACUUGUUCUAGAUUUGUAAUUAUCAUGGGGGUUAUUGGCAAGAUACAUAUGGCUAUGUUUAUCCUCUUAAUGAUUUGAUUUUUUAGUUGAUUUUCUUGAGUUCUUCUGUUUGUGCUGAAUGAAAAAAAAAUAAAAAUACAGCCUUCUGGAUGUCAAUUCAGAUAAGUUGUUAGAUCUUUGGAAUUGUGAUCUCCAAUCUCUUUGUUGAUAUUCAGCUUUUGAAUCAGCACAGGCAUAAAAUUCAUGAACUUGACAGAUGAAGUUUUGACUAAUUGAUUCUUUUUUGUUCUCUUGAAUUUAUACAGAUGGUGGAUAAAACAUUUGAUGAUGGCUAAAGAUACCGGGUGGGUGGAAACUCUGUAACAUAGCAUGUCCUUGUCCCAGGAACUUCUGAAUAAUACUGAAACCUCAUGUUGAUGAAACUGCAAAGAAGCUUCUUGAAGAUAAAUUUUCUUUAGGACCAGUGGUUCAGAAACUCUGCGCUUUUGCUUGGUUUGUUACUGGACAAAAUGCUUUCAAUCACCAUUCCCUAUCCAUUGCCUGAUCUAAAAGAUGCAAGUUAAUCAGUGGAUUUUUUUUUCCUUUCAAAUUCAUUUAUCUUUUUAUUGGAAAACGUAGCAAUCUUCUAAUCCUUUAUCUAUUUGUUGUUCUUUUCAAAUUCUCAUCACAAAUCAUGAUCUCUCCUGGUAGAUAGUUGUCUCGCUCAUAGUCCUUAAUAAAUCUUCAAUAUAAUUGUUCUUCUUUCCAGUAAGCCUUUGCCUAAUUAUUCAACUUUUUUAAACAGACACCUUUUAGGAUUUUGGUCUGCCUCUCUCUCAACCUUGAAUUUAUUUAUUUUUUUGGGGCAAGAUUCUCACUGUCUAUUCUUAAAGUUCAAUAACUAUUAAAUUUUAAUAUAGCUAAUUGUUUCUGAUAGAAUGCUACCAAAAAGAAUAGUUACGGGAAGAGGAGAUUAAAACCUUAACGCCCAAAUUUUACAUUUGGGUAGAUGCGAAUGUGAGUUUAGCAUUACUAUGGCAUGGUAGAUGCUUCAUGCAUGCUCUGCAACUGCAUUAAGUUGCAGUGGCAUAUGGGAUAAAACCAGAAUAAGUGGUUUUCAUUCUUUGACACCAGCCAUUGAAUAGUUCUGUUUUUGUUCUAGAGAGGUAUUGGAAAUUAAACUUUGGCUCGUUUCUCCUAAAAAAAUACAGCCCUUUUGGGUGUCUGUUCAGAAAAGUUGUUAGAUAUAUGUGGAUUGUGAUCUCCAAUCUCCUUAAUGUCUUUCAUCUUUUGAAUUGGCACAUGCAUAAAUUUCAUGAAUUUGACGAAGAUAAAAGUUUUGACUAAUGGAGUCUCUUUGUUCUCUUGAAUUUAUUGGGAUGCUGGAGAAGACAAUUGAUGAUGGCUAAAGAUACUAUGAGGGUGGAAACUGUGUGCUAUAGUGUGUCCUUGUGCCAGGAAAUCACCUUUCCCUAUCCAUUGCCAGAUCUAAAGAUGCAAGAAUUUAUUUGAAAAAAAAAAUGUAGCAGGUUAAAAUGAGGUUCUCAUCACAAAUUAUGAUCUCUCCUUUAUCAGGGGAAUGGCAAGACAUGGUUGGUUUCUCCCUGCUACUGGAGUACUGGCCACCAUUAUCCAAUUGAAACCCGAAACUCUCACUCCAUCUAUUGUAAACGAUGCUAUCAUAAUCAUGGGUGUUGUUGCUGUGCUCAUCCAUGUUGUAUGCAGUGCAUUUGAAGAUAUACUUGAAGCUGGCCACUUCAAAUCAAUUGCUGCUGGCACCGGUCGCCUGGCCAGAGCGCUUGCCAUUACUCUACUACUCAUAAUCUGCGUCCCAAAAAUUUGGUGGUUUCUUCUUUCGGCAUGGGUGUUGUUCUUUAUAUGGGUAACAUAUACUUUACGUGAGGAAUUGUCAAAAUUGUGUGAAUCGCUAUACAAUGCAGUUCGCCUUCGCCACGGCCAAGAGCCAAAUGAGUUGCCAGUGUAACCAUACCGAGCCAUUGAAGAGAAUUACGGUUGAUGAAAGACUGUAGUCUAUAUAUAUAUAUAUAUAAUUGCGUGGUGUGAUUGAAAUUACAAGUGCUAUUUUUACUAGUAUGGCCGCAACUUGGUAACGUUAUCUGUAAUAUAUUGUUUGAAUACUUGCUUUAAGAAAAAGAAAAUAAUCCAAAAUGCCUAUUUAAAGUA